Molecule: ribosomal RNA, 672 nt
Filed under: uncultured bacterium
Lineage: Bacteria
Description: bacterial SSU rRNA
Rfam family: Bacterial small subunit ribosomal RNA
Source: RNAcentral
GGCGAGCGUUAAUCGGAAUUACUGGGCGUAAAGAGCGUGUAGGUGGAUAAUCAAGUCGGAUGUGAAAGCCCCGGGCUUAACCUGGGAACUGCAUACGAAACGGGUUAUCUAGAGUGUGGCAGAGGUAAGUGGAAUUCCCGGUGUAGCGGUGGAAUGCGUAGAUAUCGGGAGGAACACCAGUGGCGAAGGCGACUUUCUGGGCCAACACUGACACUGAGACGCGGAAGCGUGGGUAGCGAACAGGAUUAGAUACCCUGGUAGUCCACGCCGUAAACGAUGAGAACUAGCUGUUGGGAUUUUUAGAAUCUUAGUAGCGUAGCUAACGCGUUAAGUUCUCCGCCUGGAGAGUACGGCCGCAAGGCUAAAACUCAAAGGAAUUGAGGGGGGCCCGCACAAGCGGGGGAGCAUGCGGUUUAAUUCGAUGCAACGCGAAGAACCUUACCUACCCUUGACAUUAUUGGAAUCUUCCAGAGAUGGGAGAGUGCCUUCGGGAGCCAAUGAACAGGUGCUGCAUGGCUGUCGUCAGCUCGUGUCGUGAGAUGUUGGGUUAAGUCCCGUAACGAGCGCAACCCUUAUCCUUAAUUGCCAGCGAGUCAAGUCGGGAACUUUAAGGAGACUGCCGGUGAUAAACCGGAGGAAGGUGGGGACGAGGUCAAGUCAUCAUGGCCCUUA